AUGGCGCUAGCGAACGCACGGCUUGGUGUCCUCAUCGUGGCGGCGAUGUUAUCCGCCAGCUUCCUCCCGCUGGCGACGGCUAGAGGGAGGGGCGGCCCCAUCAACCCACUGGUCGCCGGCGUAUGCGCGCAUACACCGUUCCCCGAGCUGUGCAAGGGCACGGCUGGGAAACACGCGGACAAGUACCCGACCAUCGACAAUCUAGCAGUGCUUAACAUGCAGGUUGACGCGUUUGCCAAGCGAACGGCGCAGGCCCGGAAGUUCGUCGCAAGCGCGUCCCGAAAGGGGACACCCGCGCAGACCCAGGCGCUGAGCUUCUGCGACACCAUGUACAUGAACACCCAGGACACCAUCGGCGCGGCGCAGCGGGCCAUCGUCUUCAAAGACAAGGGCACGGCCAAGAUCAUGCUGCAGCUCGCCGUGCAGGACUUCCAGUCGUGCGACCGGCCGUUCCAGCAGUCCGGGAUACCAAACCCAAUGCUCAAGUACGACGAAGAGCUCAGCCAGAUGGCCAAUAAUUGCAUGCAACUGGCCAACAUGAUGUGA
Molecule: ribosomal RNA, 546 nt
Filed under: Triticum aestivum (bread wheat)
Lineage: Eukaryota; Viridiplantae; Streptophyta; Magnoliopsida; Poales; Poaceae
Description: partial small subunit ribosomal RNA
Source: RNAcentral